RNAcentral lists this non-coding RNA (30 nucleotides) under Mus musculus (house mouse). The record is from RNAcentral. Lineage: Eukaryota; Metazoa; Chordata; Mammalia; Rodentia; Muridae.
UGACCUUCAGAGAGCCCCUGCGCUCUUCCC